GAUGAACGCUGGCGGCGUGCCUAAUACAUGCAAGUCGAGCGAACGGACGAGAAGCUUGCUUCUCUGAUGUUAGCGGCGGACGGGUGAGUAACACGUGGAAAACCUACCUAUAAGACUGGGAUAACUUCGGGAAACCGGAGCUAAUACCGGAUAAUAUUUUGAACCGCAUGGUUCAAAAGUGAAAGACGGUCUUGCUGUCACUUAUAGAUGGAUCCGCGCUGCAUUAGCUAGUUGGUAAGGUAACGGCUUACCAAGGCAACGAUGCAUAGCCGACCUGAGAGGGUGAUCGGCAACACUGGAACUGAGACACGGUCCAGACUCCUACGGGAGGCAGCAGUAGGGAAUCUUCCGCAAUGGGCGAAAGCCUGACGGAGCAACGCCGCGUGAGUGAUGAAGGUCUUCGGAUCGUAAAACUCUGUUAUUAGGGAAGAACAUAUGUGUAAGUAACUGUGCACAUCUUGACGGUACCUAAUCAGAAAGCCACGGCUAACUACGUG
This 497-nucleotide ribosomal RNA is filed under the name uncultured bacterium. RNAcentral's name for it is "partial 16S ribosomal RNA". It matches the Rfam family "Bacterial small subunit ribosomal RNA", at positions 28 to 507 of the family's 1533-position model. The record is from RNAcentral.